AGGGCACACGGUGGAUGCCUUGGCAUAGGAAGCCGACGAAGGACGUGGCAAGCUGCGAUAAGCCGCGGUGAGGGGCAAGCACCCUUCGACCCGCGGAUCUCCGAAUGGGGGAACCCUGCUGGGGUCGAGCCCAGCAACGGCAGGCUGAAUACAUAGGCCUGCGCGAGGCAACCCGGGGAACUGAAACAUCUAAGUACCCGGAGGAAAGGAAAUCAACCGAGACUGCGCGAGUAGCGGCGAGCGAAAGCGCAAGAGCCUAAACCCGUGCGCGUGUAAGCCUCCAGGCGUUGCCGCACGUGGGGUAGUGGGACCCUCCGUCCCGUCGCUGGAGCGGCGGGGUCGGGUCAGAAACCCUCGGUCCAGGGGAACCGGCUGGGAAGCCGGGCGAUACAGGGUGAGAGCCCCGUACCCGAAGGACCGCGGGCCCGAGAGAGGGAUCCCGAGUAAUGCCGGACACGUGAAACCCGGUAUGAAUCUGGGGGGACCACCCUCCAAGGCUAAGCACUCUCCUAUGACCGAUAGCGAACCAGUACCGUGAGGGAAAGGUGAAAAGCACCCCGAGAGGGGAGUGAAACAGUACCUGAAACCGUGUGCCUACAAGCAGUCGGAGCAGCCAUGCGCUGUGACGGCGUGCCUUUUGUAGAAUGAGCCAGCGAGUUGCGGUUGGCGGCGAGGUUAAGGCGUGAACCGAGCCGCAGUGAAAGCGAGCCUUUAAGAUGGCGAUCAGUCGCCAGCCGCAGACGCGAAGCCGGGUGAUCUAUCCAUGGGCAGGCUGAGGCAGAGGUAAGACUCUGUGGAGGGCCGAACCCACUUCGGUUGAAAACGGAGGGGAUGACCUGUGGAUAGGGGUGAAAGGCCAAUCAAACCCGGAGAUAUCUCGUUCUCCCCGAAAUAGCUUUAGGGCUAGCCUCGAUCGCUUACCGACGGUGGUAGAGCACUGGAUCCGUGCGGGGGCCUCACCGCCUACCAACCGAAACCAAACUCCGAAUGCCGUCGGUCCCGAGAUCGGGAGUCAGAACAUGUGGGCUAAGCCGUGUGUUCGAGAGGGAAACAGCCCAGACCGCCUGCUAAGGUCCCCAAAUCAACGCUGAGUGGCAAAGGAUGUGCGUUUGCCUAGACAACCAGGAUGUUGGCUUAGAAGCAGCCAUGCAUUUAAAGAGUGCGUAACAGCUCACUGGUCAAGUGGACAUGCGCCGACAAUACACGGGGCUAAGCGUUGUACCGAAGCAGCGGACUGUUUUAUCAGUGGUAGGGGAGCUUUCCAUGCCGGGGCGAAGCCGACGGGCGACCGUCGGUGGACUGCAUGGAAGUGAGAAUGCUGGCAUGAGUAACGAGAGAGGGGCGAGAAACCCCUCCGCCGUAAGCCUAAGGGUUCCUGGGCAAGGCUAAUCCCCCCAGGGUCAGUCGGGAGCUAAGGCGAGGCCGACAGGCGUAGCCGAUGCACAACAGGCGGACAUUCCUGUACCACCGCGGAGCGUUACUACGACGGGGUGACGGAGAAGGGUAGCCGGGCGGGGUUCUGGACGUCCCCGUGAAAGCGCGUAGGCCGCAGGGCAGGCAAAUCCGCCCUGCAGCGAGGCCGAGACGUUAGACGAAGCUUCAUGUGAAGCCGGCGAGCCCAUGCUUCCGAGAAAAACCUCUAAGGAGCGAGGCGGUGCCCGUACCAAAACCGACACAGGUAGGCGGGUAGAGCAUACCAAGGCGAUCGGGAGAACCAUGGUUAAGGAACUCGGCAUACUGACUCCGUAACUUCGGGAGAAGGAGUGCCCCCGCCUGUGAGGUCCCACGCGGACGGAGCGGGAGGGGGUCGCAGCGAAACGGCCCAAGCGACUGUUUACCAAAAACACAGGACUCUGCAAAGCCGCAAGGCGACGUAUAGGGUCUGACGCCUGCCCGGUGCUGGAAGGUUACGCGGAUGAGUUAGCGCAAGCGAAGCCCUGAAGCCAAGCCCCAGUAAACGGCGGCCGUAACUAUAACGGUCCUAAGGUAGCGAAAUUCCUUGUCGGGUAAGUUCCGACCUGCACGAAUGGCGUAACGACUUGGGCGCUGUCUCAACCAUGGACCCGGUGAAAUUGUAUUAUUCGUGAAGAUGCGAAUUACCUGCGGAAGGACGGAAAGACCCCGUGAACCUUUACUGCAGCUUGGCAUUGGCUGUUGGUGCGGUGCGUAGAGGAUAGGCAGGAGCCUGCGAACCGGGAACGCCAGUUCCCGGGGAG
This 2216-nucleotide ribosomal RNA is filed under the name human gut metagenome. Its description in RNAcentral is "bacterial LSU rRNA". It matches the Rfam family "Bacterial large subunit ribosomal RNA", at positions 14 to 2185 of the family's 2925-position model. The record is from RNAcentral.